RNAcentral lists this long non-coding RNA (212 nucleotides) under Manihot esculenta (cassava). RNAcentral's name for it is "long non-coding RNA (MESC_LNC004993)". Lineage: Eukaryota; Viridiplantae; Streptophyta; Magnoliopsida; Malpighiales; Euphorbiaceae. The record is from RNAcentral.
UUGCAUUGUAUACUUUGAUGUUGAUGUGGAUGGAUGUUGGAUGACCCAUUAGUCCUCGGUAUGAUAUGAUGAUGAUGAUACGGUAUGGAAGUCCAGUGAGGCCCAUUCUACGCCCCUGGCACAGAGUAAGAGAAAGACCAGUGAGGCCCAUUCUAUGCCCCUGGCACCAUUGCAAUGUGUAGAGGGCUAUUGGUGACAAGUCCAUCCUUGAU